RNAcentral lists this ribosomal RNA (697 nucleotides) under Vibrio parahaemolyticus. Its description in RNAcentral is "partial 23S ribosomal RNA". It matches the Rfam family "Bacterial large subunit ribosomal RNA", at positions 176 to 923 of the family's 2925-position model. The record is from RNAcentral. Lineage: Bacteria; Pseudomonadati; Pseudomonadota; Gammaproteobacteria; Vibrionales; Vibrionaceae.
GAGGCGAACCGGGGGAACUGAAACAUCUAAGUACCCCGAGGAAAAGAAAUCAACCGAGAUUCCGAAAGUAGCGGCGAGCGAAAUUGGACUAGCCCUUAAGCUUUACACGCGUUAGACGAACGGUCUGGAAAGUCCGACGAUACAGGGUGAUAGUCCCGUAGUUGACGACGUGUGUUCAGUGAAAUCGAGUAGGGCGGGACACGUGAUAUCCUGUCUGAAUAUGGGGGGACCAUCCUCCAAGGCUAAAUACUACUGACUGACCGAUAGUGAACCAGUACCGUGAGGGAAAGGCGAAAAGAACCCCUGUGAGGGGAGUGAAAUAGAACCUGAAACCGUGUACGUACAAGCAGUAGGAGCAGGCUUUGUCCUGUGACUGCGUACCUUUUGUAUAAUGGGUCAGCGACUUAUAUUCAGUGGCAAGGUUAACCAUCUAGGGGAGCCGUAGGGAAACCGAGUCUUAACUGGGCGUUCAGUCUCUGGAUAUAGACCCGAAACCAGGUGAUCUAGCCAUGGGCAGGUUGAAGGUUGAGUAACAUCAACUGGAGGACCGAACCGACUAAUGUUGAAAAAUUAGCGGAUGACUUGUGGCUAGGGGUGAAAGGCCAAUCAAACCUGGAGAUAGCUGGUUCUCCCCGAAAGCUAUUUAGGUAGCGCCUCGGACGAAUACUACUGGGGGUAGAGCACUGUUAAGGCUAGG